RNAcentral lists this ribosomal RNA (453 nucleotides) under Streptococcus mitis. Its description in RNAcentral is "bacterial SSU rRNA". It matches the Rfam family "Bacterial small subunit ribosomal RNA", at positions 36 to 467 of the family's 1533-position model. The record is from RNAcentral. Lineage: Bacteria; Bacillati; Bacillota; Bacilli; Lactobacillales; Streptococcaceae.
GACGAACCUGGCGGCGUGCCUAAUACAUGCAAGUAGAACGCUGAAGAGAGGAGCUUGCUCUUCUUGGAUGAGUUGCGAACGGGUGAGUAACGCGUAGGUAACCUGCCUGGUAGCGGGGGAUAACUAUUGGAAACGAUAGCUAAUACCGCAUAAUAGCAGUUAUUGCAUGAUAACUGUUUGAAAGGUGCAAAUGCAUCACUACCAGAUGGACCUGCGUUGUAUUAGCUAGUUGGUGGGGUAACGGCUCACCAAGGCGACGAUACAUAGCCGACCUGAGAGGGUGAUCGGCCACACUGGGAUGAGACACGGCCCAGACUCCUACGGGAGGCAGCAGUAGGGAAUCUUCGGCAAUGGACGGAAGUCUGACCGAGCAACGCCGCGUGAGUGAAGAAGGUUUUCGGAUCGUAAAGCUCUGUUGUAAGAGAAGAACGAGUGUGAGAGUGGAAAAUUCAC